AGACAUUUGGUGUAUGUGCUUGGCUGAG
This 28-nucleotide non-coding RNA is filed under the name Gallus gallus (chicken). RNAcentral also lists the same sequence under 2 other names. Lineage: Eukaryota; Metazoa; Chordata; Aves; Galliformes; Phasianidae. The record is from RNAcentral.